Molecule: long non-coding RNA, 961 nt
Organism: Zingiber officinale
Lineage: Eukaryota; Viridiplantae; Streptophyta; Magnoliopsida; Zingiberales; Zingiberaceae
Exons: 3
Source: RefSeq, a predicted model, not a curated record
CCCUAAAAUCCACGUUGUUGACACCUCUUCCCCCUCCCGAUCUUUGUCCAUCAUCGCCCGCUGGAUCACCGAUCGUCGGCGUCGAUCCGUCCCUCUCCGACCAUGAGCGAGAAGUUGACUCUCUCCCAGCCUCCUCGCACUGUCGUUCGACGCCGUGUGACUUGAUUCCAGUCGACUUCCUCUUCUGAUCUCGUUGAUGUCGUCGCCCCUUUCCUGAUCGUCGGCCGCCGACGACCACAAGGGUCGGAUUCCUCUAGCUCAGUUGCGACAGGAGCGGCAGCCAACCCUCCCGUGGCCUGUUCACGCCACUAUUAUCUGCCGCCUCGCCGAGUGACUACGCUGCUUGAUUGUUGCUUUCUCCUUUGCCUUGGCUCGUCAUCACCCUUCUCCGAUUUCCUGCAAGCUGGUGCCCUGGUGCUGUCGCUCCUUUCCUCUACCUUGGCUCAUCACGAUGGCACCACCGUGGCACACAGACUUCGUUCAGGAGGAGGCGUGGAUCUAGUCUAGGGGGAGAUCCAUUUCGGCAUAGCUGCUUCUAGGUUCUUCACCGAGCUAUUGCAGAUUCGAUUUGGGUUGAAGCCGCCUGGAGAUCCUAUCCGUCAGUCCUAUGUUACAUCGAGUGACUUCUUCCGUUCUUGCUUCCGUUCGCUUUAUUGGUUUUGGACUUAUCCAUGUAUAUGUAUCUUUGUAUGGAAUUUAGCUUUAUAUUUUCUUAUAUUUGGUUUGAUGUUAUCGUGUCAAGCCGGGUCAGCUCACAGUUAGUUAUUUUGUUCGUUUCAUAUUCGUUAUUUUGUAAUUUUCGUUGUGUAAUGUUUCAGCCGUGUAGGUUGUCUAUUAACUGUGUGGUUAUGUUUACUUUCAGCCGUGUGUGCUGCUUAUAAACUGUGUAAUUGUGUUUAUAUCCAGCCAUGUGGGCUGAUGUUGCUUGUGAGUAGCAAUGUGACAAUGUAUUUAUGCUUUA